Molecule: long non-coding RNA, 513 nt
Organism: Cucumis melo (muskmelon)
Lineage: Eukaryota; Viridiplantae; Streptophyta; Magnoliopsida; Cucurbitales; Cucurbitaceae
Exons: 2
Source: RefSeq, a predicted model, not a curated record
UUCUGACCAAAAUAAUAACAAACAACAACACAUAUGUAUGUAUCAAUAUUUAGUACACUCCAUCACCAGAAAUUCAAUCAUUUUCCCAAGGCUGACAGCUAGUGUCGGUUAAUGAAGUUAAUUACCAGACUGGUUCCAAGAAAAGAGGGUCUUCAUCGUUGUCAUCGUUGUCGUCUUGAUUUUUCAUUGAAAAAGAACCACCGCCAUGGCACUGUACGCACAGAGAGGGUCGACGACGACGCUUGGUCGAGAGCGGCUGCGGAGGGAGGUAGCUAUUAUUAUUAAUUGUGGUGUGAAAAGAGGCGGCAGCGUUGAGAUUUCUGGAGUUUGAUGAGAUUGAGAAUGAGGUAGGGAAAUGAAUGAAAUUUUGUAACGAAGAGAGAGCUGCCAUCAUGAGAGAAAUUAUUUGAAGUUGGUUGUGUUUAUCAUAAUAUGGGUAUGAAGAGAUGGAAAUUAAAAAAGAACAAAUAUAUAUAUAUAUAUAUAUAUAUAUAUAUAUAUGCUUUUCCCUCC